Long non-coding RNA from Colossoma macropomum (tambaqui), 463 nucleotides. RefSeq lists it as uncharacterized. Lineage: Eukaryota; Metazoa; Chordata; Actinopteri; Characiformes; Serrasalmidae. The transcript is spliced from 4 exons. The record is from RefSeq and is a predicted model, not a curated record.
UCCAUAUCAGCAAGUCGCUCUUGCUGAUGAAGCUUCAGCUCCUGAAAGCUCCAGUUUUACGCUGUUGAUCCUCAGCUGAGUCAGAUCUGCUGAUCUGAUGACAAAUUAGAAUAAAAUGCUUCUCUUUCUUCUGCUUCUGGGAUGUUUAGUGACAGUUAAAGGUCAAAAUCCAACUACAGAAGCCAGCGAUAUGACAGCAUGGACACCAACAGAGCAAACCGCACCUCCAACACCUACAGAUUCAACAUCUACAGCUGAAACAUCUACAGAUCCAUCUUCAACAACUGCAGCUACACCAUCAGUGACUACAGACACAUCAUCAAUAUCCACAGAGACUCCAUCAAUAACUGCAGCUUCAACGACAACAGAUGCUGCAGUGCAAACCACUGUACAUCCAGCAACCACCUCUCCAACAGUGCCACUUGCAACAACUGACACCACAACCAUACCUUCAACAUCAGUC